RNAcentral lists this ribosomal RNA (247 nucleotides) under uncultured bacterium. RNAcentral describes it as "partial 16S ribosomal RNA". It matches the Rfam family "Bacterial small subunit ribosomal RNA", at positions 523 to 769 of the family's 1533-position model. The record is from RNAcentral.
AAACGUAGGAGACGAGCGUUAUCCGGAUUUACUGGGCGUAAAGCGCGUGCAGGCGGCAUGGCAAGUUGGAUGUGAAAGCUCCCGGCUUAACUGGGAGAGGUCGUUCAAUACUGCCAGGCUUGAGAGUGGUAGAGGGAAGCGGAAUUCCGGGUGUAGUGGUGAAAUGCGUAGAUAUCCGGAGGAACACCAGUGGCGAAGGCGGCCUUCUAGGCUGUAUCUGACGCUCAGACACGAAAGCUAGGGUAGC